Molecule: ribosomal RNA, 253 nt
Filed under: uncultured bacterium
Lineage: Bacteria
Description: partial 16S ribosomal RNA
Rfam family: Bacterial small subunit ribosomal RNA
Source: RNAcentral
GACGAACCGUGCGAACGUUGUUCGGAAUCACUGGGCUUAAAGGGCGCGUAGGCGGGCCGCCAAGUCCGGGGUGAAAGCUUCCGGCUUAACCGGAAAAGGGCCUUGGAUACUGGCGGUCUGGAGGGAGGUAGGGGUCUGCGGAACUGCUGGUGGAGCGGUGAAAUGCGUUGAUAUCGAUAGGAACUCCGGUGGCGAAGGCGGCAUACUGGACCACUUCUGACGCUGAGGCGCGAAAGCCAGGGGAGCAAACGGG